CCUGCUUUCAGUUGCUACCGGGUCAUGCCGAGCACUCCGAAAGGACUGCCCAGGAUAACGGGGAGGAAGGUGGGGAUGACGUCAAGUCAGCAUGGCCUUUAUGCCUGGGGCCACACACGUGCUACAAUGGCCGGUACAAAGCGCUGCAAAC
This 151-nucleotide ribosomal RNA is filed under the name uncultured Nitrospira sp. RNAcentral's name for it is "partial 16S ribosomal RNA". It matches the Rfam family "Bacterial small subunit ribosomal RNA", at positions 1104 to 1254 of the family's 1533-position model. Lineage: Bacteria; Pseudomonadati; Nitrospirota; Nitrospiria; Nitrospirales; Nitrospiraceae. The record is from RNAcentral.